GGAGGGAGCGAGCGUUGUUCGGAAUCACUGGGCGUAAAGGGCGCGUAGGCGGCCGAGUAAGUCGUGUGUGAAAGACCGGGGCUCAACUCCGUGUACUGCAUGCGAUACUGCUCGGCUAGAGAAAGGUAGAGGCGAGUGGAAUUCCCGGUGUAGCGGUGGAAUGCGUAGAUAUCGGGAAGAACACCUGUGGCGAAGGCGGCUCGCUGGGCCUUUUCUGACGCUGAAGUGCGAAAGCGUGGGGAGCAAACAGGAUUAGAUACCCUGGUAGUCCACGCCGUAAACGAUGGGCACUAGGCGUUGGGAGGAUUGACCCUCUCAGUGCCGUAGCUAACGCGUUAAGUGCCCCCGCCUGGGGAUACGGCCGCAAGGCUG
RNAcentral lists this ribosomal RNA (372 nucleotides) under uncultured organism. Its description in RNAcentral is "partial 16S ribosomal RNA". It matches the Rfam family "Bacterial small subunit ribosomal RNA", at positions 527 to 896 of the family's 1533-position model. The record is from RNAcentral.